GCAGAGACAGGGUUUGAACCCUUGCUUGCCACCCCUUCCACCCCUGCUGGACCUCAAGGUAAGCCAUGCCCCCAGCUCAGGGGUAGGACUGCAGGUCUGAAGCUCAUUCACGCCCAACCACCAGGCUGUUGUCAUCCUGGAAGGUUCUUGAAGCUCAUUCACUCCCAACCACGAGGCUGUUGUCAUCCUGGAAGGUCCUUGGGCAUGUGAAACUGAAAUCUGCUUCCCUACUAGAAACCUCUGGGCUUCCCCUGCUGCAGCCUCUGGGGAAACAGGGGCCCUCGGAAGUGGGCCAGCUGCCAUCACCUUUCCUAGCAGCAAAAUUGUUUCAAGAGGCUGUGAGUCCAGUUCCUCCAUAAGGCAUGAGCCCCGCCUCAGCCCUUACUGGGUAGCUGCCUGGUGUAUCUCUUCCUUUGGCUGAACUUCAUCUGUAUCCUUUUCCUGGAAUAAACUAUAACCAUGAGUAUAAGAGCUUUUGGUGGGUCGAAUGAGUCUUUCUAAUGAAUUACCAAAUCUUAGGGCCCCUCCUGAACUUGCCGUUGGUGUCAGAAGUGCAGGAAGCCUCCUGUGCCCUCUGAUCUGGUAGUUGGUCCCAACCUGCUGCAGCUUCAUUCACUGAAUCCUCACGAGAACACUCUAAAGAGGUACCACCACCAUCAAUACUGCCUUACACAUUGGGAAGCUGAGUUAAGUCACCUGGUCGAGGUUGCACGUUUGGCAAAUGAAAGACAGCAGGGUCCCCCUGGAUGCAGCAUGGAGAGUGGACUGCAGACAAGUCUGAGUGGGAAGAAGGCCCAAUAUGAGGCCACAACAGCAGACCAGGUGAGGACAAUGGACAACAGACCACCUGAGCCAUGGUCCAGGGGAUGGAGAGCAAUGGACAUGAUCCAGGUGCACCUAAAAGUGACAGUAGAGCAUUAAACCAAGCACAAGUCACACAUCCGUGGAGCCACCCAUGAAGUUCUACACAAUGCAGGGUGUCUGAAAUCCAGCCAGAAGUACCCAAAUGUGGGGCUUUGUCUGCCAAGAAGACAGUCACCUUUUUCUUCCCUCAAGGCACUUUCUGCUGCCAAGCUGCGGUCCGGCAAGACUACACCCACUCAGAAGGGAUGGUACCUUUUCCUAAGUCAUACAAAGGUACCAUAUUGGCCAGCAGCCACCCUGACCAAUCCUCUGAGAUUUCCUGGCCCUGGAACAUGAAAUGUGCUCCCAGGCUGCUUGCUGAAUGAGGGAAGCGGACCAGACAUUGUAAAGCAGAAUGAGCAUAAAGCCUGGCACACAACUGUGUGGCCCACUGAUGUUUGACAAAUGACGAAAUGAAUGACUAAGUGAACGCUGACGACCAGACAGACAGACAUCUAAGUAAUGGCACUGUGGCGUUACAGAGCUAAAAGAGGCUGGGGUUUUCAAACUCUAGAGUUCUUCAAAGCUGAAAGGAACUGCAAAGCUGUGCUGGGGACAACACAAGGCCAUAUGGCAAAAGCCAGGCACUCAGGGAUCAGCCGUUUCCUGCCUUUCAUCCUUUUAUGUCUCACAUUCUGAACUCCUAUGCAAGCUUUUGUUUGAGGAAGAAAUCUGCUGGCUCAGGAAGGGCAAGAGAUUUGCCCAAUGUCACACAGCAGAGGCUGGGAAGAGGAGGGCAAAGAAGAGGGGUCAGAGAUGUGAGGUCAGAAAUCUGUGGGGAGCUCCCAGAUGAGAGGCUGAGGCCACAGGCAGGAGAGUGAGCAUCAGAAACCAGAGGUUUGUACCAGAGAAGUGAGACCAGGGCGGAAGAGCCCAGGCAAGCCAGCUCAGAGCACAGAUUCAAGGUCAAGUUCCAAACUCAGAGGCCAAAGGCAGGGGUGCAAUUCACUGCUUUUAUUUACUGAGCAACUACUAUGUCCCAGGCAGAGUUCCAGCCCUGGGGUGCAGCCGUGGACCAGACGAGGUCCCUGCCCUCGCACAGCUCACAUUCCGGAGGGAGGGGAGGGGCAGGAAAUAAACAUUAUUUUAAGAAAACCUAUGAACCAACCAGCCAGAGCUAAUAGGAAGAAAAUGAAACAAGGACAAGGAGAGACUAGCGGUAGGUGGGCUAGUUCAUACAGGGUGGUCAGGGAGGGCCUCCCUGAGGAGGUGACAUUUGAGCUAAGCUCUGAAUGAGAUGGGGCCUGCCUGUGCCCCAGCUGGGGGUGAGGGGGUGGAGUUGCUGAGUUGCUGGCCUGGAGAGCCUGCAGAUCCACUCUUCCAAGUUGGGCCGGCUGGGCAGGAAGUCGGGCCCCCUGUAACCGUAUCCCCAGGAAGGAGGAAGCCAGGAAGGCGCUUUCAGCAGUCGUAUUCAUCAAGGCAGCCUGCACUAAGCCCCAGGCAGCACCAGAGGCUCCUCAAGGCCCCUAUCCACCUUCAGCUG
Sus scrofa (pig) is the source of this 2386-nucleotide non-coding RNA. The record is from RefSeq and is a predicted model, not a curated record. Lineage: Eukaryota; Metazoa; Chordata; Mammalia; Artiodactyla; Suidae.